RNAcentral lists this ribosomal RNA (253 nucleotides) under uncultured bacterium. RNAcentral's name for it is "partial 16S ribosomal RNA". It matches the Rfam family "Bacterial small subunit ribosomal RNA", at positions 524 to 776 of the family's 1533-position model. The record is from RNAcentral.
UACGUAGGGGGCAAGCGUUGUCCGGAUUUAUUGGGCGUAAAGAGCGUGUAGGCGGCCAGUUAGGUCCGUUGUGAAAACUCGAGGCUCAACCUCGAGACGCCGAUGGAAACCAACUGGCUAGAGUCCGGAAGAGGAGAGUGGAAUUCCCGGUGUAGCGGUGAAAUGCGCAGAUAUCGGGAAGAACACCCGUGGCUAAGGCGGCUCUCUAGUACGGUACUGACGCUGAGACGCGAAAGCGUAGGGAGCGAACAGG